Molecule: long non-coding RNA, 357 nt
Organism: Zootoca vivipara (common lizard)
Lineage: Eukaryota; Metazoa; Chordata; Lepidosauria; Squamata; Lacertidae
Source: RefSeq, a predicted model, not a curated record
CCCGAAGCACUUCGGAAAUUUCCAAGCCGAUGGGGAGGGGAGAGGAGCCCCUCCCUCCGAGGGGGCGCGUCCUUGGAGAGCCCCCAGGAAAGGAAUUCGGAAUAGAAUAGCGGACGAGGGAAGCGGAGGGCCAGAGAGGACAAAGAGGUAGAGCGAAGUGUGAACGCCAUUGGGGAAUAAAGUGAUACGAAGCCGUUUCUUGUGUGACGUGCAACGCCACCAAGCCAGCUUGCUUUGGAUAUAAUUGCGAGUAAGAAUUCUCUCUCUCUCAUUCCCACAUUAGAAAAAAAAUACAAUUACAAAUGACAUUUGGGGGAGGUGGGGUCGUCCCCCCCAAGGACUGUUGUGGGCGUUGCU